GUUUCCGUAGGUGAACCUGCGGAAGGAUCAUUAUUGUAUAACCGAGGGGCGAGGGCUGUCGCUGACCCGAAAGGUCGUGCACGCCCGAGUGCCCUCACACACAUCCAUCUCACCCCUAUGUGCACCACCGCGUGGGUCCCCCUUUGGCUUGUUCGGAGGGGGGCUUACGUUUUCACACAAACUUUGUAUGCAGUGUAGAAUGUAUUUUUUGUUUUUGCGAUCACGCAAUCAAUACAACUUUCAACAACGGAUCUCUUGGCUCUC
Molecule: unclassified non-coding RNA, 264 nt
Filed under: plant metagenome
Description: partial contains small subunit ribosomal RNA, internal transcribed spacer 1, and 5.8S ribosomal RNA
Source: RNAcentral